UACGUAGGGGGCAAGCGUUGUCCGGAAUUAUUGGGCGUAAAGAGCGCGCAGGCGGUCGUUCAAGUCGCGUGUGAAAGCCCCCGGCUCAACUGGGGAGGGUCACGCGAUACUGAUCGACUCGAAGGCAGGAGAGGGUAGUGGAAUUCCCGGUGUAGUGGUGAAAUGCGUAGAUAUCGGGAGGAACACCCGGGGCGAAGGCGACUACCUGGGCUGUUUCUUGACGCUGAGGCGCGAAAGCUAGGGGAGCAAACGGG
This 254-nucleotide ribosomal RNA is filed under the name uncultured bacterium. Its description in RNAcentral is "partial 16S ribosomal RNA". It matches the Rfam family "Bacterial small subunit ribosomal RNA", at positions 524 to 776 of the family's 1533-position model. The record is from RNAcentral.